This 501-nucleotide unclassified non-coding RNA is filed under the name Hevea brasiliensis (rubber tree). Lineage: Eukaryota; Viridiplantae; Streptophyta; Magnoliopsida; Malpighiales; Euphorbiaceae. The record is from RNAcentral.
GAGUUUGAAAUGACUAGCAAGUUUGAGUGGCUUCAUCCAUCUCAAAUCAAGGAUGCGAAUGGUAGAAGGCCAGGGGACCCACUCUAUGAUAAGCAAACACUCUAUAUUCCACCUGAUGUGUUGAGAAAAAUGUCCGCUUCUCAGAAGCAGUACUGGGAUGUCAAAUGUAAAUACAUUGACAUUGUGCUUUUCUUUAAAGUGGGAAAAUUUUAUGAGCUGUAUGAACUAGAUGCUGAAAUUGGUCACAAGGAGCUUGAUUGGAAAAUGACGCAAAGUGGCGUGGGAAAAUGUCGACAGGUUGGUAUAUCUGAAAGUGGAAUUGAUGAAGCUGUUCAGAAGCUCCUAGCGCGAGGGUACAAAGUUGGACGGAUGGAACAGUUGGAAACAUCCGAGCAAGCAAAAUCUAGAGGCUCUACUUCUGUUAUUCGUAGAAAACUAGUUCAUGUACUCACCCCUUCUACGACAAGUGAGGGUAAUAUUGGGCCUGAUGCAGUUCAUCUU